Molecule: ribosomal RNA, 253 nt
Filed under: uncultured bacterium
Lineage: Bacteria
Description: partial 16S ribosomal RNA
Rfam family: Bacterial small subunit ribosomal RNA
Source: RNAcentral
UACGUAGGGUGCGAGCGUUGUCCGGUAUUAUUGGGCGUAAAGGGCUCGUAGGCGGUUUGUCGCGUCGGGAGUGAAAACCUUGGGCUUAACUCAGGGCUUGCUUUCGAUACGGGCAGACUAGAGGUAUGCAGGGGAGAACGGAAUUCCUGGUGUAGCGGUGAAAUGCGCAGAUAUCAGGAGGAACACCGGUGGCGAAGGCGGUUCUCUGGGCAUGAUCUGACGCUGAGGAGCGAAAGUGUGGGGAGCGAACAGG